This 197-nucleotide ribosomal RNA is filed under the name uncultured Lactobacillus sp. RNAcentral's name for it is "partial 16S ribosomal RNA". It matches the Rfam family "Bacterial small subunit ribosomal RNA", at positions 335 to 524 of the family's 1533-position model. Lineage: Bacteria; Bacillati; Bacillota; Bacilli; Lactobacillales; Lactobacillaceae. The record is from RNAcentral.
ACUCCUACGGGAGGCAGCAGUAGGGAAUCUUCCACAAUGGACGCAAGUCUGAUGGAGCAACGCCGCGUGAGUGAAGAAGGUUUUCGGAUCGUAAAGCUCUGUUGUUGGUGAAGAAGGAUAGAGGUAGUAACUGGCCUUUAUUUGACGGUAAUCAACCAGAAAGUCACGGCUAACUACGUGCCAGCAGCCGCGGUAAU